AACCAACAGGGAUUGCCUCAGUAACGGCGAGUGAAGCGGCAACAGCUCAAAUUUGAAAUCUGGCUCUUUCAGAGUCCGAAUUGUAAUUUGUAGAGGAUGCUUCGGAAUGGUCCCAGUCUAAGUUCCUUGGAACAGGACGUCACAGAGGGUGAGAAUCCCGUAUGUGACUGGGUAACCGGCCCAUGUGAAGCUCCUUCGACGAGUCGAGUUGUUUGGGAAUGCAGCUCUAAAUGGGUGGUAAAUUUCAUCUAAAGCUAAAUACCGGCCAGAGACCGAUAGCGCACAAGUAGAGUGAUCGAAAGAUGAAAAGCACUUUGGAAAGAGAGUUAAAAAGUACGUGAAAUUGUUGAAAGGGAAGCGUUUGCAACCAGACUUGGCUGCAGUUGAUCAACCGGUGUUCUCACCGGUGCACUCUUCUGCAGACAGGCCAGCAUCAGUUUGGGCGGUUGGAUAAAGGUUGAAGGAAUGUAGCUCCUCUCGGGGAGAACUUAUAGCCUUCAGCGUCAUGCAGCCUGCCUGGACUGAGGACCGCGCGUUUGCUAGGAUGCUGGCGUAAUGGUUGUAAACGACCCGUCUUGAAACACGGACCAAGGAGUCUAACAUCUAUGCGAGUGUUUGGGUGUCAAACCCGUACGCGUAAUGAAAGUGAACGGAGGUGGGAAGCGCAAGCUGCACCAUCGACCGAUCCUGAUGUCUUCGGAUGGAUUUGAGUAUGAGCAUAGCUGUUGGGACCCGAAAGAUGGUGAACUAUGCCUGAAUAGGGUGAAGCCAGAGGAAACUCUGGUGGAGGCUCGCAGCGGUUCUGACGUGCAAAUCGAUCGUCAAAUUUGGGUAUAGGGGCGAAAGACUAAUCGAACCAUUGUUUUCCACAACUAGGUGGUUAAUUGAAAGGGUGCAGUGGCACCUUUCCAGCUCGCUGCACUGCAGCGGGCAACACCGCUAAUUGCGUGGACAGUCCUUAACUGGAAUGACAUGCAGUGACCCUGUCAAAAGGGGUCACUCACAGACCAAAUGGUGGUGGCCGGCUUUCAGUAGCUGGUUAAGAUAUGGCCGGUCCUCCUCUGCAAGAAGG
RNAcentral lists this ribosomal RNA (1072 nucleotides) under Symbiotaphrina sanguinea. Its description in RNAcentral is "LSU rRNA". It matches the Rfam family "Eukaryotic large subunit ribosomal RNA", at positions 63 to 1154 of the family's 3401-position model. The record is from RNAcentral. Lineage: Eukaryota; Fungi; Ascomycota; Symbiotaphrinales; Symbiotaphrinaceae.